GAUGAAGAACGCAGCGAAAUGCGAUAAGUGGUGUGAAUUGCAGAAUUCAGUGAAUCAUCGAAUCUUUGAACGCACAUUGCGCCCCUUGGUAUUCCAUGGGGCAUGCCUGUUCGAGCGUCAUUUGUACCUUCAAGCUCUGCUUGGUGUUGGGUGUUUGUCUCGCCUCUGCGUGUAGACUCGCCUCAAAACAAUUGGCAGCCGGCGUAUUGAUUUCGGAGCGCAGUACAUCUCGCGCUUUGCACUCAUAACGACGACGUCCAAAAGUACAUUUUUACACUCUUGACCUCGGAUCAGGUAGGGAUACCCGCUGAACUUAAGCAUAUCAAUAAGCGGAGGA
Molecule: unclassified non-coding RNA, 337 nt
Filed under: soil metagenome
Description: partial contains 5.8S ribosomal RNA, internal transcribed spacer 2, and large subunit ribosomal RNA
Rfam family: 5.8S ribosomal RNA (bases 1-120)
Source: RNAcentral